UACGUAGGUGGCAAGCGUUGUCCGGAAUUAUUGGGCGUAAAGCGCGCGCAGGCGGUCCUUUAAGUCUGAUGUGAAAGCCCACGGCUCAACCGUGGAGGGUCAUUGGAUACUGCUGGGCUAGAGUGCGGAAGAGGCGAGUGGAAUUCCUGGUGUAUCGGUGAAAUGCGCAGAUAUCAGGAAGAACACCUAUGGCGAAGGCGGUGGUCUGGGCCGGCACUGACGCUGAGGAGCGAAAGCGUGGGUAGCAAACAGG
This 253-nucleotide ribosomal RNA is filed under the name uncultured bacterium. RNAcentral describes it as "partial 16S ribosomal RNA". It matches the Rfam family "Bacterial small subunit ribosomal RNA", at positions 524 to 776 of the family's 1533-position model. The record is from RNAcentral.